AUUGAACGCUGGCGGCAUGCCUUACACAUGCAAGUCGAACGGCAGCACGGAGCUUGCUCUGGUGGCGAGUGGCGAACGGGUGAGUAAUAUAUCGGAACGUACCCUAGAGUGGGGGAUAACGUAGCGAAAGUUACGCUAAUACCGCAUACGAUCUAAGGAUGAAAGUGGGGGAUCGCAAGACCUCAUGCUCGUGGAGCGGCCGAUAUCUGAUUAGCUAGUUGGUAGGGUAAAAGCCUACCAAGGCAUCGAUCAGUAGCUGGUCUGAGAGGACGACCAGCCACACUGGAACUGAGACACGGUCCAGACUCCUACGGGAGGCAGCAGUGGGGAAUUUUGGACAAUGGGCGAAAGCCUGAUCCAGCAAUGCCGCGUGAGUGAAGAAGGCCUUCGGGUUGUAAAGCUCUUUUGUCAGGGAAGAAACGGUGAGAGCUAAUAUCUCUUGCUAAUGACGGUACCUGAAGAAUAAGCACCGGCUAACUACGUGCCAGCAGCCGCGGUAAUACGUAGGGUGCAAGCGUUAAUCGGAAUUACUGGGCGUAAAGCGUGCGCAGGCGGUUUUGUAAGUCUGAUGUGAAAUCCCCGGGCUCAACCUGGGAAUUGCAUUGGAGACUGCAAGGCUAGAAUCUGGCAGAGGGGGGUAGAAUUCCACGUGUAGCAGUGAAAUGCGUAGAUAUGUGGAGGAACACCGAUGGCGAAGGCAGCCCCCUGGGUCAAGAUUGACGCUCAUGCACGAAAGCGUGGGGAGCAAACAGGAUUAGAUACCCUGGUAGUCCACGCCCCAAACGAUGUCUACUAGUUGUCGGGUCUUAAUUGACUUGGUAACGCAGCUAACGCGUGAAGUAGACCGCCUGGGGAGUACGGUCGCAAGAUUAAAACUCAAAGGAAUUGACGGGGACCCGCACAAGCGGUGGAUGAUGUGGAUUAAUUCGAUGCAACGCGAAAAACCUUACCUACCCUUGACAUGGCUGGAAUCCUUGAGAGAUCAGGGAGUGCUCGAAAGAGAACCAGUACACAGGUGCUGCAUGGCUGUCGUCAGCUCGUGUCGUGAGAUGUUGGGUUAAGUCCCGCAACGAGCGCAACCCUUGUCAUUAGUUGCUACGGAAGGGCACUCUAAUGAGACUGCCGGUGACAAACCGGAGGAAGGUGGGGAUGACGUCAAGUCCUCAUGGCCCUUAUGGGUAGGGCUUCACACGUCAUACAAUGGUACAUACAGAGCGCCGCCAACCCGCGAGGGGGAGCUAAUCGCAGAAAGUGUAUCGUAGUCCGGAUUGUAGUCUGCAACUCGACUGCAUGAAGUUGGAAUCGCUAGUAAUCGCGGAUCAGCAUGUCGCAGUGAAUACGUUCCCGGGUCU
Molecule: ribosomal RNA, 1352 nt
Filed under: uncultured bacterium
Lineage: Bacteria
Description: bacterial SSU rRNA
Rfam family: Bacterial small subunit ribosomal RNA
Source: RNAcentral